This 330-nucleotide ribosomal RNA is filed under the name uncultured alveolate. RNAcentral's name for it is "partial Bacterial large subunit ribosomal RNA". It matches the Rfam family "Bacterial large subunit ribosomal RNA", at positions 296 to 631 of the family's 2925-position model. The record is from RNAcentral.
GAGCGAACGCGGACCAGGCCAGUGCCGGUCAUUGUCUAACUGGAACCUUCUGGAAAGUUGGGCCGUAGCGGGUGAUAGCCCCGUACAGGUGUUGACAAUGAUCGGACUCGAGUAGGGCGGGACACGUGAAAUCCUGUCUGAACGUGGGGGGACCACCCUCCAAGCCUAAGUACUCCUCAGCGACCGAUAGUGAACCAGUACCGUGAGGGAAAGGCGAAAAGAACCCCGGAGAGGGGAGUGAAAUAGAACCUGAAACCGGAUGCGUACAAGCAGUCGGAGCCCGUUCGUCGGGUGACGGCGUACCUUUUGUAUAAUGGGUCAGCGACUUAG